AGAUAGAUAGAUAGAUAGAUAGAUAGAUAGAUAAAUAGAUAGAUAGAUAGAUAAAUAGAUAGAUAGACGUUUGUAGUUUCGUUUAAAAACCCUUACUUAUUUGUUUUAAUAACCAUAGUUUGUGCUCAGAGUGUGUCUUUCAUGUAGUCUACGUAGUGCGCUCGGAAUGUGUGUAGACCUGUUUUAUAGUUUAUAGUGUAGACGCAGGCUACGUGAGCGCGUAGUGGGCGGAGUUUCUCCGCAAGCCCCGCCCCACGCUCCGCCGAACACAAACUUCUUUUCUUUCUCAGCUCAGAGGCGCAGAAGUCAGUCACGCAGCGUGACGUAACGCAGGAGCCGCGCUUUCACUCUCGUGUCUGUGCGCUGGAGAGGGUUCUGCUGUGUCGUGAGCUCUCCUCCGCGCGUGUGAGAGUGUUUUGUGAGUGUGUGAGUGUGUGUGUGUGUGAGUGAGCUGCAGUCAUGGCUGUGGACGGAACAGACCAGCGCGCGCUGCAGUAUGAGCAAACUUUGGAGCACACAGACACACCUGUGUACAUGAAAACACACAGACCCGCCGCGUCACUACAGUACCUGAGUUCUGAGAAGAGAGGCGUGGAUUCAGUGAAAGUCUUCCUUUCACAAGGAUCAGGGUGUCUUGAUAACCUCUGGAAGACUCUGUCUGCAUUCCUGCACAAGCCAUUGUGACACACACACACUGUUAAUACUCGCACACAACAGUCUUUAGAAAGAACAGAUUUUAUCUGUGUUAUGGAUUUGCAUGGAUCUGAUGUCAGAGUUUCAUGUGCAUACACUAUUAUUAAUAUUUAAAAACAAAAAGAAAUGUAAAACAUUUCUUACAGUUACAACAUCAGUAUUAUCUACUUGUGAGAUGUACUCUUUAAACUGAUAAGAUUUCAGAUGUCAGAAUUGAUAAAAUAGCACUUUUCAGAGUAGUUUCAGAUAUUUCCUGUGUGUGUGACCGAGUGUGUGUGACCGAGUGUGUGUGUGUGUGUGUGUGUGUGUGUGUGAGUUUGUGAGAGUGAGUGUGUGUGUGUGUGUGUGUGUGUGUGUGUGUGAGUUUGUGAGAGUGAGUGUGUGUGUGUGUGUGUAUGUUUGUGAGAGUGUGUGUGUGCGUGUGUGAGUUUGUGAGGGNNNNNNNNNNNNNNNNNNNNNNNNNNNNNNNNNNNNNNNNNNNNNNNNNNNNNNNNNNNNNNNNGUGUGUGUGUGUGUGUGUGUGUGUUAACUAGGGCUGGACAAUUAAUCGAAAAGUAAUCGAAACCGAAAUUCAGAACCUCUAACCGACGUAAUUUUCCCAUGUCGGUUAUUUCGGUUUUUUAAUCCUGUUAAUACUUCCCCCUUAAAAGCAUUCUACCGCGUGUAGCCACAUGACUCUGCCCCGUCCAGUCAGUGGCAUAAAAGCAAAACACGGAGGAGAACGCCGGUUCAACACAUAGUGAUGGCGCUCGAGCGGUGAGCCUUGCGUCUUCACUAAACUUUGUCAGUUGUAUUUGUUUUAUGGUUCGGACACUCAAGCGAUUAGACGAUCGGAUGUGUAUUAUUAUAUCGAGCUCCCAUGUUCACGCAGCUGCAUUGUGGCACAAACACUCAUAUAAACAGUAGCUGUGAAGAUCGCGCGCACAGAGGAACGCAGAAACUAGUUGUCAGCGCUGUCCUAUGAUUUAUCACUAAAGUAGCUUAGAAUCUCAAAACUUAUUAUAGAAUAUUUUUCUACUUUUGAAGGAACUAGGCUAUUUACAACCCACAGCUUCACAAUUAAUAUAGAGACGGUGUGACUAAUUCACACACGCAAUCACUCGUACUCGUACUGUGCUAAUUUAUCUUUAUCUGAUCUUUAUUUAUCUCUUACACCGAGCAAUAAUCUGUAAGAAAUGUUACGAACAUAGAUAAGCUAACUGCUGAUAGUGAACUAUGAUGUCAGAUCGCUCUUUCAACAGGAAAAAAUAUCCCACCUUUAAUAGUCAAUCAUAUUUACAGUACAAACCUUGUCAGUGAACUAUGAGGGCAAAAAAAAAAAAAAACUGAAACAAAAUAAAUGUUCAUUAAUCGUAAUCGAGGUAAAAUGU
Molecule: long non-coding RNA, 2063 nt
Organism: Cyprinus carpio (common carp)
Lineage: Eukaryota; Metazoa; Chordata; Actinopteri; Cypriniformes; Cyprinidae
Source: Ensembl